AUACGAGGGGUGCAAGCGUUGUUCGGAAUUACUGGGCGUAAAGGGAGCGUAGGCGGAGAUUCAAGCGGAUUGUACAAUCCCGGGGCCCAACCCCGGCUCUACAGUCCGAACUGGAUCUCUUGGAUAGUUCAGGGGCAGGCGGAAUUCCUGGUGUAGCGGUGGAAUGCGUAGAGAUCAGGAAGAACACCGAUGGCGAAGGCAGCCUGCUGGGGACUUAUCGACGCUGAGGCUCGAAAGUGCGGGUAGCAAACAGGAUUAGAUACCCUGGUAGUCCGCACCGUAAACGAUGCAUACUGGGUGUCCGGGGGUUCCCCCGGGUACCGUAGCCAACGCGUUAAGUAUGCCGCCUGGGGAGUACGUACGCAAGUAUGAAACUCAAAGGAAUUGACGGGG
This 393-nucleotide ribosomal RNA is filed under the name uncultured bacterium. RNAcentral's name for it is "partial 16S ribosomal RNA". It matches the Rfam family "Bacterial small subunit ribosomal RNA", at positions 523 to 918 of the family's 1533-position model. The record is from RNAcentral.